This 495-nucleotide ribosomal RNA is filed under the name uncultured bacterium. Its description in RNAcentral is "partial 16S ribosomal RNA". It matches the Rfam family "Bacterial small subunit ribosomal RNA", at positions 28 to 523 of the family's 1533-position model. The record is from RNAcentral.
GAUGAACGCUGGCGGCGUGCUUAACACAUGCAAGUCGAACGAAGCGAAUUUAUUGGAUCUUUCGGGAAAAGAUAAAUUUGACUUAGUGGCGGACGGGUGAGUAACGCGUGGGUAACCUGCCCUGUACAGGGGGAUAACAGUUAGAAAUGACUGCUAAUACCCCAUAAGCGCACAGUGUCGCAUGACACAGUGUGAAAAACUCCGGUAGUACAGGAUGGACCCGCGUCUGAUUAGCUAGUUGGUGAGGUAACGGCCCACCAAGGCAACGAUCAGUAGCCGGCUUGAGAGGGUGAACGGCCACAUUGGGACUGGGACACGGCCCAAACUCCUACGGGAGGCAGCAGUGGGGAAUAUUGCACAAUGGGCGAAAGCCUGAUGCAGCGACGCCGCGUGAGUGAUGACGUAUUUCGGUAUGUAAAGCUCUAUCAGCAGGGAAGAUAAUGACGGUACCUGACUAAGAAGCCCCGGCUAACUACGUGCCAGCCGCCGCAGUAA